Molecule: ribosomal RNA, 464 nt
Filed under: Vreelandella stevensii
Lineage: Bacteria; Pseudomonadati; Pseudomonadota; Gammaproteobacteria; Oceanospirillales; Halomonadaceae
Description: partial 16S ribosomal RNA
Rfam family: Bacterial small subunit ribosomal RNA
Source: RNAcentral
CCUACGGGGGCAGCAGUGGGGAAUAUUGGACAAUGGGGGGAACCCUGAUCCAGCCAUGCCGCGUGUGUGAAGAAGGCCCUCGGGUUGUAAAGCACUUUCAGUGAGGAAGAACGCCUGGUGGUUAAUACCCAUCAGGAAAGACAUCACUCACAGAAGAAGCACCGGCUAACUCCGUGCCAGCAGCCGCGGUAAUACGGAGGGUGCGAGCGUUAAUCGGAAUUACUGGGCGUAAAGCGCGCGUAGGUGGCUUGAUAAGCCGGUUGUGAAAGCCCCGGGCUCAACCUGGGAACGGCAUCCGGAACUGUCAAGCUAGAGUGCAGGAGAGGAAGGUAGAAUUCCCGGUGUAGCGGUGAAAUGCGUAGAGAUCGGGAGGAAUACCAGUGGCGAAGGCGGCCUUCUGGACUGACACUGACACUGAGGUGCGAAAGCGUGGGUAGCAAACAGGAUUAGAUACCCGAGUAGUC